GAUGAACGCUGGCGGCGUGCCUAAUACAUGCAAGUCGAACGCGCAGCGAAAGGUGCUUGCACCUUUCAAGCGAGUGGCGAACGGGUGAGUAACACGUGGAUAACCUGCCUCAAGGCUGGGGAUAACAUUUGGAAACAGAUGCUAAUACCGAAUAAAACUUAGUAUCGCAUGAUACAAAGUUAAAAGGCGCUACGGCGUCACCUAGAGAUGGAUCCGCGGUGCAUUAGUUAGUUGGUGGGGUAAAGGCUUACCAAGACGAUGAUGCAUAGCCGAGUUGAGAGACUGAUCGGCCACAUUGGGACUGAGACGCGGCCCAAACUCCUACGGGAGGCGGCAGUAGGGAAUCUUCCACAAUGGGCGCAAGCCUGAUGGAGCAACGCCGCGUGUGUGAUGAAGGCUUUCGGGUCGUAAAGCACUGUUGUAUGGGAAGAAAUGCUAAAAUAGGGAAUGAUUUUAGUUUGACGGUACCAUACCAGAAAGGGACGGCUAAAUACGUGCCAGCCGCCGCCGUAA
This 513-nucleotide ribosomal RNA is filed under the name uncultured bacterium. Its description in RNAcentral is "partial 16S ribosomal RNA". It matches the Rfam family "Bacterial small subunit ribosomal RNA", at positions 28 to 523 of the family's 1533-position model. The record is from RNAcentral.